Molecule: ribosomal RNA, 755 nt
Filed under: uncultured beta proteobacterium
Lineage: Bacteria; Pseudomonadati; Pseudomonadota; Betaproteobacteria
Description: bacterial SSU rRNA
Rfam family: Bacterial small subunit ribosomal RNA
Source: RNAcentral
AGAGUUUGAUCCUGGCUCAGAUUGAACGCUGGCGGAAUGCUUUACACAUGCAAGUCGAGCGGCAGCGCGGGGGCAACCCUGGCGGCGAGCGGCGAACGGGUGAGUAAUGUAUCGGAACGUACCUCGUCGUGGGGGAUAACGCACCGAAAGGUGUGCUAAUACCGCAUACGUCCUGAGGGAGAAAGCGGGGGAUCGCAAGACCUCGCGCGAUGAGAGCGGCCGAUAUCUGAUUAGCUAGUUGGUGGGGUAAAGGCCUACCAAGGCGACGAUCAGUAGCUGGUCUGAGAGGACGACCAGCCACACUGGGACUGAGACACGGCCCAGACUCCUACGGGAGGCAGCAGUGGGGAAUUUUGGACGAUGGGGGAAACCCUGAUCCAGCCAUUCCGCGUGAGUGAAGAAGGCCUUCGGGUUGUAAAGCUCUUUCAGCAGGAACGAAACGGUGCGGGCUAAUACCCUGCAUCACUGACGGUACCUGAAGAAGAAGCACCGGCUAACUACGUGCCAGCAGCCGCGGUAAUACGUAGGGUGCGAGCGUUAAUCGGAAUUACUGGGCGUAAAGCGUGCGCAGGCGGUUAUUUAAGACAGAUGUGAAAUCCCCGGGCUCAACCUGGGAACUGCGUUUGUGACUGGAUAGCUGGAGUAUGGCAGAGGGGGGUGGAAUUCCACGUGCAGCAGUGAAAUGCGUAGAGAUGUGGAGGAACACCGAUGGCGAAGGCAGCCCCCUGGGCCAAUACUGACGCUCAUGCACGAAA